CUUUUUCCAAUUUGUAAGUCGCUCUGGAUAAGAGCGUCUGCUAAAUGACUUAAA
Molecule: non-coding RNA, 54 nt
Organism: Salmo salar (Atlantic salmon)
Lineage: Eukaryota; Metazoa; Chordata; Actinopteri; Salmoniformes; Salmonidae
Source: Rfam